UACGUAGGGGGCAAGCGUUGUCCGGAAUUAUUGGGCGUAAAGAGCGUGUAGGCGGCCAGAUAAGUCCGCUGUGAAAUCUCGAGGCUCAACUUCGAGCUGUCGGUGGAAACUAUCUGGCUAGAGUCCGGAAGAGGAGAAUGGAAUUCCUGGUGUAGCGGUGAAAUGCGCAGAUAUCAGGAGGAACACCGAUUGCGAAGGCAGCUCGCUGGGACGUCACUGACGCUGAGACGCGAAAGCGUGGGGAGCAAACAGG
This 253-nucleotide ribosomal RNA is filed under the name uncultured bacterium. RNAcentral describes it as "partial 16S ribosomal RNA". It matches the Rfam family "Bacterial small subunit ribosomal RNA", at positions 524 to 776 of the family's 1533-position model. The record is from RNAcentral.